UCUAGACAAUAUACACACCCAAAUAAGUCCUCAUUAAUUAUUCAUACACUAUUUUACAGAAAUAGUGAGGACAGCUAAACCAUCUUCCUAGAACCAUCACUCCAUACCCCGACUCGAUCCUGCUAUGUUCUCACCUCUUGAGAAGAAAAAUGGAACAAAAAGGAAAAGGGUGAGCUCAACUAGCCCAGUAAAGAAUAUUAUGACUAAGAUAAUAUACAACAAAUUAUCGUUAG
RNAcentral lists this long non-coding RNA (233 nucleotides) under Panax ginseng (ginseng). RNAcentral's name for it is "long non-coding RNA (PGIN_LNC015276)". The record is from RNAcentral. Lineage: Eukaryota; Viridiplantae; Streptophyta; Magnoliopsida; Apiales; Araliaceae.